GACGAACGCUGGCGGCGUGCUUAACACAUGCAAGUCGAACGGAAAGGCCCUGCUUUUGUGGGGUGCUCGAGUGGCGAACGGGUGAGUAACACGUGAGUAACCUGCCCUUGACUUUGGGAUAACUUCAGGAAACUGGGGCUAAUACCGGAUAGGAGCUCCUGCUGCAUGGUGGGGGUUGGAAAGUUUCGGCGGUUGGGGAUGGACUCGCGGCUUAUCAGCUUGUUGGUGGGGUAGUGGCUUACCAAGGCUUUGACGGGUAGCCGGCCUGAGAGGGUGACCGGCCAAAUGGGGAUGGAGAGCGGGCCCAGACCCCUCGGGGGGGAAGGGGGGGGGAAUUGGGCAAAGGGGGGGGAGGCCGGAGGCAGCACCGCCCGGGGGGGAAGGGGGGCUUGGGGGUGUAAACCCCUUUCCGCUGGGGAGGAGGGGGGAGGGAGGUGAGGGGAUAAAAAACCCCGGGCUAACACGGUC
Molecule: ribosomal RNA, 468 nt
Filed under: uncultured bacterium
Lineage: Bacteria
Description: partial 16S ribosomal RNA
Rfam family: Bacterial small subunit ribosomal RNA
Source: RNAcentral